UACGGAGGGUGCGAGCGUUAAUCGGAAUUACUGGGCGUAAAGCGUGCGCAGGCGGUUCGCCAAGUCAGGUGUGAAAUCCCCGGGCUUAACCUGGGAAUUGCGCUUGAAACUAGCGGGCUUGAGUGUGGCAGAGGGGGGUGGAAUUCCACGUGUAGCAGUGAAAUGCGUAGAGAUGUGGAGGAACACCGAUGGCGAAGGCAGCCCCCUGGGUCAACACUGACGCUCAUGCACGAAAGCGUGGGGAGCAAACAGG
RNAcentral lists this ribosomal RNA (253 nucleotides) under uncultured bacterium. Its description in RNAcentral is "partial 16S ribosomal RNA". It matches the Rfam family "Bacterial small subunit ribosomal RNA", at positions 524 to 776 of the family's 1533-position model. The record is from RNAcentral.